GAUGAAGAACGUAGCAAAAUGCGAUAAGUAAUGUGAAUUGCAGAAUUCAGUGAAUCAUCGAAUCUUUGAACGCACAUUGCGCCCGCUAGUAUUCUGGCGGGCAUGCCUGUCCGAGCGUCAUUUCAACCCUCAAGCCCCCGGGCUUGGUGUUGGGGAUCGGCGAGCCUCCGCGCCCGCCGUCCCCUAAAUCUAGUGGCGGUCUCGCUGUAGCUUCCUCUGCGUAGUAGCACACCUCGCACUGGGAAACAGCGCGGCCACGCCGUUAAACCCCCAACUUCUGAACGUUUGACCUCGGAUCAGGUAGGAAUACCCGCUGAACUUAAGCAUAUCAAUAAGCGGAGGA
Molecule: unclassified non-coding RNA, 343 nt
Filed under: soil metagenome
Description: partial contains 5.8S ribosomal RNA, internal transcribed spacer 2, and large subunit ribosomal RNA
Rfam family: 5.8S ribosomal RNA (bases 1-120)
Source: RNAcentral